UACGGGGGGUCCGAGCGUUAAUCGGAAUUACUGGGCGUAAAGGGUCUGUAGGUGGUUUGUUAAGUCGGAUGUGAAAGCCCAGGGCUCAACCUUGGAACUGCAUUUGAUACUGGCAAACUAGAGUAUGGUAGAGGAAUGGGGAAUUUCUGGUGUAGCGGUGAAAUGCGUAGAGAUCAGAAGGAACACCAAUGGCGAAGGCAACAUUCUGGACCAAUACUGACACUGAGGGAUGAAAGCGUGGGGAUCAAACAGGAUUAGAUACCCUGGUAGUCCACGCUGUAAACGAUGAGUACUAGCUGUUGGAUUCGGUGUAAAGGAUCUAGUGGCGCAGCUAACGCGUUAAGUACUCCGCCUGGGGACUACGGCCGCAAGGCUAAAACUCAAAGGAAUUGACGGGGACCCGCACAAGCGGUGGAGCAUGUGGUUUAAUUCGAUGCAACGCGAUGAACCUUACCUGGUCUUGACAUCCUGCGAACUUUCUAGAGAUAGAUUGGUGCCUUCGGGAACGCAGUGACAGGUGCUGCACGGCUGUCGUCAGCUCGUGUUGUGAAAUGUUGGGUUAAGUCCCGCAACGAGCGCAACCCCUAUUGAUAGUUACCAUCAUUAAGUUGGGUACUCUAUUGAGACUGCCGCUGACAAGGCGGAGGAAGGUGGGGACGACGUCAAG
RNAcentral lists this ribosomal RNA (667 nucleotides) under uncultured prokaryote. RNAcentral's name for it is "bacterial SSU rRNA". It matches the Rfam family "Bacterial small subunit ribosomal RNA", at positions 524 to 1189 of the family's 1533-position model. The record is from RNAcentral.